This 541-nucleotide unclassified non-coding RNA is filed under the name Hevea brasiliensis (rubber tree). Lineage: Eukaryota; Viridiplantae; Streptophyta; Magnoliopsida; Malpighiales; Euphorbiaceae. The record is from RNAcentral.
AAAAAAAAAAAGAAAAAAAAAGGGUUUCAAAUCACACUUUCCUUCUCCUAUACCGUGCUUUCCAAACACGACACACAAGUUAACCUACCUAAAUCAUAUAGCAACCAAAAAUUAUUAAAAAAAAUUACAGCAUUAGCUCGAUACAUUACCAUAAAGUGCACAAAUAAGAGCAAAAACACAGAGAGGGAGAGAAUCAAAACAGAUUAAGAAAUUAAUAAGGAAUUUUUUUUUUUCAGAAUAACGAACUUUCAAUCUGGAGAGACAAUGACGACGUUGCCGAUCAGGAAUGUAAGUGUUAAACGAUAAGGCAUGCGACGUGAUCGCCGGAGCUCCAAUCAAAAUCUAGCACUCCGUUUUUAUUUUGGUUUGUUUGCUUUUGGUCGUGAAGCGAUAGUGAGAGUGAUGGAGAGGAAGAGAUCACAAUCAGAGUUUAGGUAGAGGUUUUAGAAGGAUUAGGGCUUUGGCAUUCCAGAGACUUCGAAAUUAGACGAAAGCGAAAGCUGUGACUCACUGAUUUUCCAACCCCUUUUGCAGCUUUCCG